AGUGAACGCUGGCGGUAGGCCUAACACAUGCAAGUCGAACGGCAGCACAGUAAGAGCUUGCUCUUACGGGUGGCGAGUGGCGGACGGGUGAGGGAUACAUCGGAAUCUACUUUUUCGUGGGGGAUAACGUAGGGAAACUUACGCUAAUACCGCAUACGACCUACGGGUGAAAGCAGGGGAUCUUCGGACCUUGCGCGAUUGAAUGAGCCGAUGUCGGAUUAGCUAGUUGGCGGGGUAAAGGCCCACCAAGGCGACGAUCCGUAGCUGGUCUGAGAGGAUGAUCAGCCACACUGGAACUGAGACACGGUCCAGACUCCUACGAGAGGCAGCAGUGGGGAAUAUUGGACAAUGGGCGCAAGCCUGAUCCAGCCAUACCGCGUGGGUGAAGAAGGCCUUCGGGUUGUAAAGCCCUUUUGUUGGGAAAGAAAAGCAGCAGGUUAAUACCCCGCUGUUCUGACGGUACCCAAAGAAUAAGCACCGGCUAACUUCAUG
Molecule: ribosomal RNA, 492 nt
Filed under: uncultured bacterium
Lineage: Bacteria
Description: partial 16S ribosomal RNA
Rfam family: Bacterial small subunit ribosomal RNA
Source: RNAcentral